Molecule: ribosomal RNA, 336 nt
Filed under: Clostridioides difficile
Lineage: Bacteria; Bacillati; Bacillota; Clostridia; Peptostreptococcales; Peptostreptococcaceae
Description: bacterial LSU rRNA
Rfam family: Bacterial large subunit ribosomal RNA
Source: RNAcentral
AAGAGAGCUUGAUUGCAAGACAUACAGGUCGAGCAAGGAUGAAAAUCGGACUUAGUGAUCCGGUGGUUCUGCGUGGAAGGGCCAUCGCUCAACGGAUAAAAGCUACCCUGGGGAUAACAGGCUUAUCUCCCCCAAGAGUCCACAUCGACGGGGCGGUUUGGCACCUCGAUGUCGGCUCAUCACAUCCUGGGGCUGUAGUAGGUCCCAAGGGUUGGGCUGUUCGCCCAUUACAGUGGUACGCGAGCUGGGUUCAGAACGUCGUGAGACAGUUCGGUCCCUAUCCGUCGCAGGCGUAGGAAAUUUGAGAAGACCUGUCCUUAGUACGAGAGGACCGGG